RNAcentral lists this transfer RNA (72 nucleotides) under Araneus ventricosus. Its description in RNAcentral is "tRNA-His". Lineage: Eukaryota; Metazoa; Arthropoda; Arachnida; Araneae; Araneidae. The record is from RNAcentral.
UCCAGUGGACGGGAUUUGAACCCGCAUUCUUCAUAACCAUUUUAUGACGCAUUGCCAUUCUGCCACCACUGG